RNAcentral lists this long non-coding RNA (201 nucleotides) under Mytilus galloprovincialis (Mediterranean mussel). Lineage: Eukaryota; Metazoa; Mollusca; Bivalvia; Mytilida; Mytilidae. The record is from RNAcentral.
UGCCUGUACACUUCCUCAAAUAUAACCACUGCAUUUAAAGACGAUGUAUUCGGAGUGAAUCCUCUUUGUAAUGGUGAUUGGUUCUUCAGUAAAACUGGUCUAAAAUUAAUUCUUGCAAUAUAUUCCAAAAUUUUACAUAGUAUAGAAAGUACUACAAUUCCUCUGUAGUUUUUAGAUUCAUUUUUGUUUCCUUUAUUCUUG